GUCCUACGGGGGGCAGCAGUGGGGAAUAUUGCACAAUGGGGGAAACCCUGAUGCAGCGACGCCGCGUGGGCGAUGAAGUACCUCGGUAUGUAAAGCCCUAUCAGCAGGGAAGAAACAGGACAGUACCUGACUAAGAAGCCCCGGCUAACUACGUGCCAGCAGCCGCGGUAAUACGUAGGGGGCAAGCGUUAUCCGGAUUUACUGGGUGUAAAGGGAGCGUAGACGGCUGGCCAAGUCUGAAGUGAAAGCCCGGGGCUUAACCCCGGAACGGCUUUGGAAACUGGCCGGCUGGAGUGCUGGAGAGG
RNAcentral lists this ribosomal RNA (305 nucleotides) under uncultured bacterium. RNAcentral's name for it is "bacterial SSU rRNA". It matches the Rfam family "Bacterial small subunit ribosomal RNA", at positions 335 to 657 of the family's 1533-position model. The record is from RNAcentral.